RNAcentral lists this ribosomal RNA (355 nucleotides) under Escherichia coli. Its description in RNAcentral is "partial 23S ribosomal RNA". It matches the Rfam family "Bacterial large subunit ribosomal RNA", at positions 614 to 970 of the family's 2925-position model. The record is from RNAcentral. Lineage: Bacteria; Pseudomonadati; Pseudomonadota; Gammaproteobacteria; Enterobacterales; Enterobacteriaceae.
AAUGGGUCAGCGACUUAUAUUCUGUAGCAAGGUUAACCGAAUAGGGGAGCCGAAGGGAAACCGAGUCUUAACUGGGCGUUAAGUUGCAGGGUAUAGACCCGAAACCCGGUGAUCUAGCCAUGGGCAGGUUGAAGGUUGGGUAACACUAACUGGAGGACCGAACCGACUAAUGUUGAAAAAUUAGCGGAUGACUUGUGGCUGGGGGUGAAAGGCCAAUCAAACCGGGAGAUAGCUGGUUCUCCCCGAAAGCUAUUUAGGUAGCGCCUCGUGAAUUCAUCUCCGGGGGUAGAGCACUGUUUCGGCAAGGGGGUCAUCCCGACUUACCAACCCGAUGCAAACUGCGAAUACCGGAGAA